Scophthalmus maximus (turbot) is the source of this 1165-nucleotide long non-coding RNA. RefSeq lists it as uncharacterized. NCBI's taxonomy places the organism in Eukaryota, Metazoa, Chordata, Actinopteri, Pleuronectiformes, Scophthalmidae. The transcript has 2 exons. The record is from RefSeq and is a predicted model, not a curated record.
CAAGGCGGCGUGCAUAGCACGGCUGCAAGCCCAGUUCUUAGGAUUAUAGAAAAAGAAAAAAAAAAAUUGGAUUCUGAAAACCUCCCGACCAACAGCUGAAGCCCAGCUGACUGUGCUGUAAGUCAGAGCUUCCAGUGGCUGGUGGCCAGUGCUGACUGGGAAAGUUUCCAGGCUCAGAUGGACUGUGAUUAACCCAAGAUGGGUCAAACUCUGCAGGAAGCCCUCCACAACCAGCCACUCCUUUUUAUCCACUUUCCAAUGAAACCAAUUACUUUUACAGCGAGUCUUGGUGCCCACACUAUAUGUGUUGUUGUUGAGUACUGCUGUGAAAAGGAAGGCAGACGUGAAGUGGGAAACCCUCCUGAGCUGCUCCAAUAGACUGUAAAAUAUACCUAUAGUCAGUAUCCAUGGAGACCUACUGAAGUGUGAGAGCAGCCAGAGGGACACACAAAAACCUUUCAUAAAACCCAGUAUAUUACGAUUGUUACAAUCUUUUAAAAUUUGUCAUCAAAGCAGUUUUUUUUGCCAAAGUGUAAACAAAAACCCUUUCUUUUUUACACUACUUGCUCUUUUUAAGAUGCAGAGCAGAGAUGCUGUAAGUUCGAUUAGUGCAUGUCACUGGUUUCUAUUCAUUUCCUUUUAAUUUCACGAAUAAUAAAACAGACGUCAAAGAGAUUAAACUUUCUGAGGAAAGGUAAACCACUAUUGUUCUCACUGUGAUAGCAUUUAUGCUGCUAAAGAUGAAGAAUAUGUCUUGUGGAGAGCAGAUUUAUUUCAAAUCCACUAUGUGUAUGAUGCACAUUUCAAUAAUGGUGCUGGGACUGCACACACCCAUUAAUAUCUGCGCUGAUACAUAAAAGGUUCACUACUUCCUGCAUUGGCACAGAACUGGGGCUAAAUCAUGGAAAAUUAAAGUGGAUAUAAGUCAUGAAAAACUGCACUGGAUAUUAAAUGAUCACCACUGGUGUUUGAGAAAGUUCAUUCAACAUCUUAGAAUACCAAAAGAAUAUAUAGUCCCCUAAAUAUAAAAGAUUUUUUCCAUCAAGAUCAUCAAUAAUUCCCUGUGAAAUUGGUGAAAACUAAAAAAAAAAAAAAAAAAAACUAAGUUAAAGAAAGGGAAACAAAAUUCCUGGAUCUGCCCCUUUGUCCGGAUCUACACCAAAAU